Colossoma macropomum (tambaqui) is the source of this 5670-nucleotide RNA transcript. It is a transcript of the gene named Rho guanine nucleotide exchange factor (GEF) 10, with no coding region annotated. The transcript is spliced from 30 exons. NCBI's taxonomy places the organism in Eukaryota, Metazoa, Chordata, Actinopteri, Characiformes, Serrasalmidae. The record is from RefSeq and is a predicted model, not a curated record.
GAGAAAGUUGCAGUCCUCAGAGGAAUGGAGAGAGAGAGAGAGAGGGGAUUCAGCGGACUGCUAACCAAACUGACCCUGUGAGCAGCUUCAACUGACCACUCAGUCACCCCAGGAACAUGGUGUGUACAUGUCUCUGAACGGUCCUCCACCUGAAGACCUCUGUUGACCCUGAGCCUAAUCUGAUAGAAAAGCUUCCAGCAUGGAACAGGAGGACUUCCCUCCACCUCCUCCUGACAUGCUAGAUGAAGAAGAGGAGGGUGAGCGGUUUGAGUUUGAUGACAGCUGUGAUGAAGCUCCUGAGGCCGAUCGCCCUCUCCCGGCUCCUCCUGUGCAGGACUAUGGUGCUCCAGACCACUGUGGAGCAGCAGCUUCAUCUGCACCUGUUAGUCCACCCUCCUUAGUGGGUGCAGCCAGUCCAGCGAAUGGGACUAAUCUUGGCUCGUACAAUGCAGAGGCUGAUCUACCCCCACCACCUGAGAACUGUGCCCCUCUUAAUGCCCCAUUGUGCCAUACUGUGGCCCCACAGAGUGACUUACCUGCACCCCCUGAAGAGGAACAGAAUCUGAAUGGUUCACUCGCUGCAGCGGGCCUGGAUAGUGAUCUGCCUCCACCUCCAGAGGAUGUCACACGACCUGCCACUGAAACUGGGAACAGCAACUCCAGUGUGGCCCAAUCCAAAGUCAACCCUUACUCAGUGAUCGAUAUCACCCCCAUCCAGCAGAUCUCCCAGCAGGGCCUGCCUCUCUCCUCUUCUCCAUCCAAUGAGAAUGAAGGGGAUUCCCAGGAAUUACCCAGCAGCCCUGUUGUGCCCUCUGGGUACUCGGUGCCUGUGCCCUGCGGCUAUGCUACGCCCUCCAGCGUGCCCAUAAUUACGCCUGCCUACACCACGCCGGUCAUCAUCAGACACUUCUCUGUGGAUGAGGACGUGACCGUGGUGGGGGCGGGGAAUACUUUGACAGACAAUGUCUUCAGUGAAGAGUAUCCAGUGAUAAGGGAGGAAGACGCUCUGACUAAGUGGGUUUCGGACCCUGCCAACACAGCCUGGAUGGAGAACCCAGAUGAAGUUAUUUAUGAUGAUGUGCCUCAAGAGAAUUCUGGAUCCACUACAGACCCAGAUGAAAUGAUCUACGAUGACGUGGAGCUGGGGGAGGAGGGCGGCAGUAGUUCCCUGGAUAACGGCUGGAGCUCCAGUGAGUUUGAGAGCUAUGAGGAGGGCAGUGAUGGUGAGAACGGUCAUGCAGAGAACGGACUCCCGAGCGCCUUUGUCCGCGGACGCCCGCCAAGCAAGAAAACACACCUGUCUCAAGAUCUGACGCGUUUGAAAGAGCACUAUGAGAAAAAGGUGAGAGAUCUAAUGGCAAAUGCAGUGGGGACAGUAGAACUCCAGCAGCUCAGACACAAACAUGAACAGAAGAUGCAAAAGCUGGUGAAGGCAGCUAAGCAUGGGACCAAAGAUGGCCUGGAGAAAACUAAAGCUGCGGUGAAGAAGGGAAAGUCUUUCAUUCGGACCAAGUCUUUCUGCCAUGAGAGGAAGACGUCCUGCUUUGAGGAAGAAGAGUCCGAGCUCUUCAUUGAGGUGGAGUGUUUUAAUGUAGAGCCAGUGCUAGGCCCCGCCCCCGAGGGCCUCUCUCAACAACAGGUGGUCAGAAGAUGUAUCCUGGAAUCAAUAUUAGAGAGCGAGAAGAAUUACUUGGAGGCGCUGAGGCGAAUACUAGAGCAGUAUGAGAAGCCUCUGCUGGAGAUCGAGCCGCGGAUGCUGAGUGAGAGAAAAUGCAAGAUGGUGUUUUAUCGCGUGCGGGAGAUCCUGCAGUGUCACGCCCUGUUCCAGAUCGCGCUGGCCAGCCGAGUGGCCGACUGGGACAACCUGCAAACCAUUGGAGACGUGUUUGUGGCCUCGUUCUCCAAGUCCAUGGUGCUAGACGCGUACAGCGAGUAUGUGAAUAACUUCAGUACGGCUAUGGAGGUGGUGAGAAAGGCCUGUGCUUCUAAACCCUGCUUCUUGGACUUCCUCAAGCAACGUCAGGAGUGCAGCCGAGAUCGAGUCACACUCUACGGCCUUAUGAUGAAACCUAUACAGAGGUUCCCCCAGUUCAUUCUGCUCCUGCAGGACAUGCUGAGGAACACUCCGGUGGGCCAUGCUGACCGACUGCCUCUGCAGAUGGCUCUGACUGAGCUGGAGACUCUGGCUGAGAAACUCAACGAGAAGAAGAGAGAAGCCGACCAGCGCUGCGAGAUCAGGCACAUCGCUAAGGCCAUGAACGAACGCUACCUCAACAAGCUCCUGAGCAGCGGCACCAGGUAUCUAAUCCGCUCAGAUGACGUGGUGGAGACAGUGUAUAACGACCGUGGUGAGAUCAUCAAGACUAAAGAGCGACGACUGUUCCUCCUCAACGAUGUGCUCAUGUGUGCCACGCCCAACCUGCGCUCUCCUCAGGAAGGUGUAGGUGGUGUUGUCAGUGCGGCUGUUCCUUCGGGUCAGCGGUUCCUGUUGAAGUGGAGCGUUCCUCUCAGCCUGGUGGAGCUGGUGGAGUUCGGCUCCUCAGAGGAGAUGGGGGACUCUGCUCGAUUCCCUGCCCCUCACUCUGGAGAAAAGGUCGUCAUUAACGCCAAGCCAAAUAAGUUGUAUGUGGGUCCAGGCCAGCUGUAUCAGGACCUGCAGAACCUCAUCCAUGACCUGGGCCUGGUCAAUCAAAUCUCCACCAUGAUCGGCAGCCUUAAAGGCAACUAUCAGAAUGUGAAUGGGGCAGUAGCACAGGACUGGGUCUCAGGCCUUCAGCGUCUCAUCCUUAAGAAAGAAGAGGAGAUCAGGGCUGCAGACCGCUGCCGUAUCCAGCUACAGUUACCGGGGAAACAGGACAAGUCAGGCAGACCCACGUUCUUCACUGCAGUUUUCAACACGUUCAGCCCUUCCAUCAAACAGGCGUGGAUCAGCAACCUGCAGAUGGCCAAGCUGGCUCUGGAGGAGGACAACUUGCAGGGCUGGUUCUUUGCUGAAGAUGAUAGUAAUCAGAUAAAGAAACAGAAGCAUCCUCUCCUGCUGAAGCACCUGCCUGUGGUCAUGUCCAGACUGCAGGAGUUUAAGGUGGAGUGCGCCGUCCAUAACCCAGAGCCCCAUGUUAACAGUGAAAGCACAGCAGACAUGCCAGCAGUAGGUCACGGAUGUGUCUGGGUGGCCAGCUGCACCAAUCAAAUGGGCCAGAUUGCCAUAGUGGCCAUGCAGAACUCCAGCCCGAAGGUGACUGAGUGUUUCAAUGUGGAGUCGCGCAUCCUCUGUAUGACCUACGUGCCCCUGGAUGGGCCCCUGGAGGACGGUGAGGGAAACCCUGAACAAAACGCCCAGCCCAGGACUGUUGACACACCCACGGUGUGUGUGGGGAUGGAGGAGGGGAGUAUCUCCGUCUAUAAGAGCAGUCAGCGCUCAAAGAAAGUGCGUCUGCAGCACUUCUUCUCUCCGGACAAGGCCACAGUCACAUGUCUGGCGUACAAGAGUCCGUGUCUGUAUGCCGGUUUGGUCAGUGGCUCACUCGCAGUCUACUCCAGAACGGCAGACGGCCUAUGGGACUCGUCCAGUGUGCGGCUGCUGAAGCUCGGGGUGCUGCCGGUGAAGGCUCUGCUGGCCGUUGGGGAGCAUGUGUGGGCAUCGUCUGGAGGGCAGGUCUUCAUCAUCAACACCCGCACGCACACUGUGGAGCACCAGUUGGAGGCUCAUCAUGAAGAGGGUAUGGUGGUGUCUCAGAUGGUGGUGGCUGGUGUGGGCAUCUGGAUCGCCUUCAGCUCCGGUUCCACCCUCCGGCUCUUCCAUACUGAAACCCUGGAGCACCUGCAGGACAUCAACAUCGCCACGCCCGUCAACAACAUCUUAUCAGGUCACCAGAGGGUCUCUGUGAGCAGCCUGCUGGUGUGUCAUGGUUUGCUACUAGUGGGGACAAAUCUCGGAGUGACAGUGGCUCUGUCCGUGCCCAGACUACAGGGGAUUCCCAAGGUCACAGGGCGAGGCAUGGUGUCCUUCCACGCUCAUCACGGCCCUGUGAAGUUCCUCACCGCAGCCAUGCCGGUGUGUAACCUGCCGUCGGCUGCUGCAGCUCCAGUCUCUGCCAGCUUCUCCAGCCAGUGUGGUCCUCUAGAGGAGGAAAGGCCAGGCUCUGCUCCAGCCGCGUCCAGUGACAGAGGCGUGUGGCUGUGCGACAGCAGCAGAAGCUCCCCUGGACCUGGUUCUGGCUCUGGCCCUGGUCCCUGCUCCAGUCCUCCAGGACUCACUCUCCUCCUCCUGCGGCUCACUGGCACCGUCCCACAGCUCUCUGGAGCACGGACCAGAGGACGGGGCCAUUUAUGACCUUCUGAAUGACCCCGCACACUCCCAGAAGGCCAAACGAGCACAGCGAAUGGACGUGAGCUCACUCCUGGUGGUUUCCGGUGGGCUGGGUCACCGCCGGGUCAACAGAAAGACCAAGCAUGCACGGCAUGAGGAGAGCGUGUCCACCAUCAUGGUAUGGCAGAUCCCCAUCCUCAACGUAUGAACGUGGAGAUGGAGACAGAUAUAGUACAGAAAGGGUGUUGGUGGCAUUACAUGGCACAGGGUUGAUGUGCAGUGUCCCUCCCUGUGCUUUUCCGAAGCAUUCUCCUCCUCUUCCGAGCGACAGAUUCAUCGUGGUGUAAAAAUGGAUUAAUGCUGAAUGAAAGGGAAACAGAGAUACGAGGAGGGACUACACAGUCUCAGUCGAAGCUCUUUCUCGAAUGCUGCGGACGUGACGUCAGUAUAACCACUUCUGCAUGGUUUUGGACCCUUGUGUUACUUGAAAUAUCGUUGAUGGCAGUUGGAAGUUGGAUGGAGGAAAUACUGCAAUACGACUCUGCUAACUGUUUUUUGAAGUGUCUAGACUGAAGUAACACUGCUAAUGCAAAAUAUUCCUAUGCAUCUUUAGCUGCUGCGUGCUUACAUUUUGGCGAUAUGUAAUUCCUAACUCCACUUAAUUCAGUUUUCAAUUUUUAUUUUCAUCAGUAUAUCACAAAAGGUCUCCCAGAAUGUCCAGGGACUGAGAGUACAUCUGUUGUCUUCCCACAUUUUUCUUUGUCCAAAGUUUCAAGUUGAUUGGAGUCACCAGUUAUUCCAAGGCCAAGACAUCAGCUAAUGUUUUAGCUGAAAUUAUAAAGCCAAAAAAUAAAAACAAUCUAGCUAAUAUUUUGUAAAGGAGAGACUUUGGUGGCAUUUCUGGCUGGCCAGAUUUCCCAUAGCUCCUAAAUCAAAGUGGACGUAUAUCAAUCCUAUUAGACACUAGUGGGAUGUUUCAUAUUCCUAAAUUAAUUUCGUCAUGUAUGAAUAUUUAAUAUGAUUAAGAAAGCUUGAUAAUGGUGCCAUUCAGUAUGUAUGCUAUCAUGUCUUUUAACAACUGUCUACAUAGGUUUUUCCAGCCUUUUUCUUGUGUAUCUGUCAAGUGAUAAUCAUGCUUUUCUUACCAAAAAAUGUAACCCAUUUGUUUUUAAUUUGUUUCUUAUUUGCACACUUAUUUGUUGUUUAAUGUGGCAUCAAGCACAUAAAUUAAUUGUCAAAAAAGAAAAGUGAAUACCUUUGGAUUUAGCUGGAAGGUGCUUUCUGUGACUCUAAGGCCUUAAACAUGGAUGAAAAGAGGGAUGAGAAGUUCUAUUAAACUGAAAAACUGAAGUAUGCCACUA